Schizosaccharomyces pombe (fission yeast) is the source of this 852-nucleotide non-coding RNA. Lineage: Eukaryota; Fungi; Ascomycota; Schizosaccharomycetes; Schizosaccharomycetales; Schizosaccharomycetaceae. The record is from the annotation of a GenBank genome assembly.
UUUAAAAAAUGUGUAAAAAAGACAUUAGUUAUCUCGGUACUUACCAUGCUUGAGGCUGGGCGUUAUCCAUUGGCCAUUCCGGUGAAAAGCAACAUUAAAUAUUGUUGCUUCUGUUACAAACCCUUGAUGGUUGUAUAACAGAACGUCUUGUGCUUUUGAGUAUUGGGCAUCAUUGCGGUUCAUUGCUUCAAUGUAAAUUGCUCGGUUGGUCAUCUUAUUAAUGCAGGACGGGUUUUUCUCGGUAGAACUUGGUUGCUUAUCCAGAAUUAAUGUGUACGGUGCUUUUUCUAAAGUUUGAAUAGGAACAAUUUGAACAGUAACGUCUCCAGCUUUAGAAAGUUCCCACCUUACCUAUUAUGUUUAGAUCAAUGUAUAAAGUUUAUAGCAAGCAUACUUACCCUUGCCAUGGAAGUAUCCUGAACCGCUUCUCGUAAUUUAUUUUCGAUGUAUUGCUCUCCAGGCCAAGAGUAUCCAAGAGACUUUGCCGAAGCUUUCAUUCGCUGCAAGUGGCUUGGCAGCAAAAACAGUUCUCCAUCAUAGAGAGUGGUUUCAAAUAAAUUUGAUUCUUCCAUUCCACUGUGCUGGUCAGAAUUAUUCUAAAGUAAAAAAACCCAAAGAGUAGAAAGACUUAGAAUUUCAUAUUUAUUGACAAUAGAAUUUAGUGACAAAAAUUCAAAAACUUACAAACUAAAUCCUUGACUAUACUACUUAUCAACUGAUGUAGUUAGUGGUAGCAAAAAUCGAUUGCUCAGGCACAGUAUAUUGUGUGUAAGUUGUAUAGUAGUGGAGAAACUUCGAAAAAAUAUCAACAGAAGAGAGAACUUAUGAGUAGCACACUUAGAAAAUUGGACA